UGAUUUCAUAGCUUCCUAACCCCAGAGUGAUACAAAUCCACCGUGCAAACUAGGAAACUGGUUCUGAUCUAUAGAUCAUAUAGAGAACUAUGGCUGAGGUCUGGCUUCCUGGGAGAAGUAGCAGAUGAUGGCAUUGGCUGAUGAGGCAACUGUGCAGCCUCAUUCCACCCCAACCAUUAAGCUGUUUUCUGGUGCAGAUGCACUGGAUACAGAUAUCUCCUUAGAAAAUUUACCAACCACAGUCAUCAGGAUGGAGAAUAGGAUGGAGGCCAGGUUCACCUGGCUAUGACUCUGACUCUGACUCACAGAAUGAGAAACCUCACUGGGCUCAUGGCUGCCAAAUCUUCAAACUCACCUUCAACUGCAAUGACUUUCGGUGGGAGCUGAGGACACACAGCAACUUGCACAAAGUACUCAGCACAACCUUAGACCGGGCCAUACAUAAGGGCAACUCUGCUCUGUUGUCCCAGAAGAGUGACUCGUGCGAACUUCAAGGACAGAAAAACAGGCUAUUUCCUUGGUGAUCAAAGAGUCUUUCAUGCCUCAUCUUACAAGCCUUAAUCAACUGAACAAGGAGCACACAUAUGAGAAUGCAAGAUGGGGUUCAUGGACUGCGAGACACAAGAUACUUUCAGUCCCUAACAAACCCCUUUCCCUUUGUACACGCAGAUCUCUUCAGCCUCUAAAGCUGAGCCCCCAAUUCCCAUGUGUUCAAGAAUCUUGAUCAGGUGGCAAGGACACUGGUGCUUCAUCCCCGCAGGAGCCUGGAGAUGUCUGCUAGCAACCGAGCAUCUCAUUGGGGCACCUCCUCGCCAUGCGUCCGUUCCAUUGCCAUAGGGAGAUGGACCAUCAACCCAUGACGGUGUUUAUAUCCAACUUCAGUUCCGUUUUCAGG
This is a long non-coding RNA of Trachemys scripta elegans, 895 nucleotides long. RefSeq lists it as uncharacterized. The record is from RefSeq and is a predicted model, not a curated record. The transcript is spliced from 4 exons. NCBI's taxonomy places the organism in Eukaryota, Metazoa, Chordata, Testudines, Emydidae.